RNAcentral lists this ribosomal RNA (253 nucleotides) under uncultured bacterium. RNAcentral describes it as "partial 16S ribosomal RNA". It matches the Rfam family "Bacterial small subunit ribosomal RNA", at positions 524 to 776 of the family's 1533-position model. The record is from RNAcentral.
UACGUAGGGUGCUAGCGUUAUCCGGAUUUACUGGGCGUAAAGGGCACGCAGGCGGGCUUUUAAGUGAGAUGUGAAAUCCCCGGGCUUAACCUGGGAAUAGCAUUUCAGACUGGGAGUCUAGAGUACUUUAGGGAGGGGUAGAAUUCCACGUGUAGCGGUGAAAUGCGUAGAGAUGUGGAGGAAUACCGAAGGCGAAGGCAGCCCCUUGGGAAUGUACUGACGCUCAUGUGCGAAAGCGUGGGGAGCAAACAGG